UCCUCGAUAGCUCAGUUGGUUAGAGCGCACGGCUGUUAACCGCGAGGUCAUUGGUUCGAGUCCAAUUCGAGGAG
RNAcentral lists this transfer RNA (74 nucleotides) under Rhodovulum sp. Its description in RNAcentral is "tRNA-Asn". It matches the Rfam family "tRNA". From Rfam's summary of the family: Transfer RNA (tRNA) molecules are approximately 80 nucleotides in length. Their secondary structure includes four short double-helical elements and three loops (D, anti-codon, and T loops). Lineage: Bacteria; Pseudomonadati; Pseudomonadota; Alphaproteobacteria; Rhodobacterales; Paracoccaceae. RNAcentral also lists the same sequence under 1 other name. The record is from RNAcentral.